RNAcentral lists this ribosomal RNA (253 nucleotides) under uncultured prokaryote. RNAcentral's name for it is "partial 16S ribosomal RNA". It matches the Rfam family "Archaeal small subunit ribosomal RNA", at positions 474 to 727 of the family's 1478-position model. The record is from RNAcentral.
UACCUGCAGCCCAAGUGGUGGUCGAUUUUAUUGAGUCUAAAACGUUCGUAGCCGGUUCGGUAAAUCUUUGGGUAAAUCGGGGGGCUUAACCUUCCGACUUCCGAGGAGACUGCCGAACUUGGGACCGGGAGAGGCUAGAGGUACUUCUGGGGUAGGGGUAAAAUCCUGUAAUCCUAGAAGGACCACCGGUGGCGAAGGCGUCUAGCUAGAACGGAUCCGACGGUGAGGGACGAAGCCCUGGGUCGCAAACGGG